CAUGUCUUUUUGAAUAUAAUUUAAAGUCUAAUCUGCUCAAUGAGGUAUUAAAUUGCCGCGGUAUUUUGACCGUGCAAAGGUAGCAUAAUAAUUAGUUUUUUUAUUGAAAGCUGGAAUGAAUGAUUGGACGAGAAAAUAUCUGUCUCCUAUAAAAUUAAUAUUGAAUUUUAUUUUUAAGUUAAAAAGCUUGAAUUAUAUUUAGUGACGAGAAGACCCUAUAGAUUUUAAUUUGUUUUUAUUAUAAAUUUAUUUUUGGUAUUUUUUGUUUUUAUUAUGAACUUAUUUGGUUGGGGUGACUUUAAGAUUUAAUAAACUCUUAUACUUUAAAUCAUUUAUUUGUGAAUUAUGAAUCUAGAUAUUCUAAAUUUAAGAAAAAUUACCUUAGGGAUAACAGCGUAAUUUCCUUUUAGAGUUCUUAUUGAUUUGGAAGUUUGCGACCUCGAUGUUGGAUUAAAAUAAAUUUUUGGUGCAGAAGCUUAAUAAUUUGGUCUGUUCGACCUUUAAAAUUUUACAUGAUCUGAGU
RNAcentral lists this ribosomal RNA (523 nucleotides) under Lissomus sp. UPOL RK0795. RNAcentral describes it as "partial 16S ribosomal RNA". The stretch from base 387 to 523 matches the Rfam family "Bacterial large subunit ribosomal RNA", at positions 2473 to 2610 of the family's 2925-position model. Lineage: Eukaryota; Metazoa; Arthropoda; Insecta; Coleoptera; Elateridae. The record is from RNAcentral.